ACGGGAGGCAGCAGUGAGGAAUAUUGGUCAAUGGGCGAGAGCCUGAACCAGCCAAGUCGCGUGAAGGAAGAAGGUUCUAUGGAUUGUAAACUUCUUUUGUCUGAGGGUAAAGUGAGAGAUGCGUCUCUUAUUGCAAGUAUCAGACGAAUAAGCAUCGGCUAACUCCGUGCCAGCAGCCGCGGUAAUACGGAGGAUGCGAGCGUUAUCCGGAUUUAUUGGGUUUAAAGGGUGCGCAGGCGGCACGUUAAGUCAGCGGUGAAAUGUCGGGGCUCAACCCGGGCACUGCCGUUGAAACUGGCGAGCUUGAGUACGGAUGAAGUCGGCGGAAUGUGAUGUGUAGCGGUGAAAUGCUUAGAUAUGUCACAGAACACCGAUUGCGAAGGCAGCUGACUAAUCCGCAACUGACGCUCAGGCACGAAAGCGUGGGGAUCGAACAGGAUUAGAUACCCUGGUA
RNAcentral lists this ribosomal RNA (454 nucleotides) under uncultured Porphyromonadaceae bacterium. RNAcentral's name for it is "partial 16S ribosomal RNA". It matches the Rfam family "Bacterial small subunit ribosomal RNA", at positions 341 to 792 of the family's 1533-position model. Lineage: Bacteria; Pseudomonadati; Bacteroidota; Bacteroidia; Bacteroidales; Porphyromonadaceae. The record is from RNAcentral.